This 262-nucleotide ribosomal RNA is filed under the name Trochulus villosus. Its description in RNAcentral is "partial 16S ribosomal RNA". Lineage: Eukaryota; Metazoa; Mollusca; Gastropoda; Stylommatophora; Hygromiidae. The record is from RNAcentral.
AUUCCGGAAAAAAGCUGUCUAACAUCAAGCUAUACAUAAUUUAUUUAGUGCGUGAAAAGCCGCACAUAUAGAAAAAAGACGAGAAGACCCUAGAAAUUUUUUAAAAGUUCUGUAAAUCCUAUUUUGUUGGGGCGACAUAGUAACACUUAACCUACUAUAUUAACAUGCUACUUAUAAGACGUAAGAUAAAAUUACUCUAGGGAUAACAGCAUAAUUUAUUAUUAAGUUUGUGACCUCGAUGUUGGACUAGGAAAUAUUUUAU